This 447-nucleotide ribosomal RNA is filed under the name uncultured bacterium. Its description in RNAcentral is "bacterial SSU rRNA". It matches the Rfam family "Bacterial small subunit ribosomal RNA", at positions 355 to 825 of the family's 1533-position model. The record is from RNAcentral.
UGGGGAAUCUUGGACAAUGGGCGCAAGCCUGAUCCAGCCAUGCCGCGUGGAUGAUGAAGGCCUUAGGGUUGUAAAAUCCUUUCGCCGAGGACGAUAAUGACGGUACUCGGAGAAGAAGCUCCGGCUAACUUCGUGCCAGCAGCCGCGGUAAUACGAAGGGGGCUAGCGUUGUUCGGAUUUACUGGGCGUAAAGCGCGUGUAGGCGGGUCGUUAAGUUGGGGGUGAAAUCCCGAGGCUCAACCUCGGAACUGCCUUCAAAACUGGCGACCUGGACCUAAGUAGAGGCAAGUGGAAUUGCGAGUGUAGAGGUGAAAUUCGUAGAUAUUCGCAGGAACACCAGUGGCGAAGGCGACUUGCUGGACUUAUGGUGACGCUGAGACGCGAAAGCGUGGGGAGCAAACAGGAUUAGAUACCCAUGUAGUCCCUGAGCGGGCUGGCAAGGCGCAU